CAUCGUUCACCUCGUUUUUGCGAGGCGCAGAUCGGCCCAAGCCAAGGAACGGGGACUUGGG
This is a non-coding RNA of Synechococcus sp. CC9311, 61 nucleotides long. Lineage: Bacteria; Bacillati; Cyanobacteriota; Cyanophyceae; Synechococcales; Synechococcaceae. The record is from Rfam.